Macrobrachium nipponense is the source of this 585-nucleotide long non-coding RNA. RefSeq lists it as uncharacterized. Lineage: Eukaryota; Metazoa; Arthropoda; Malacostraca; Decapoda; Palaemonidae. The record is from RefSeq and is a predicted model, not a curated record. The transcript is spliced from 3 exons.
ACCAGGCGAACUGUGUCCCCAACUGUACAUAGUAGAAUGCAGACGAUAGCAAGGUGACAGCUAUAAUUUCCAUCUAAUUAAGGAAACUUAAAUUAUUUAAUUUUUUCAGUACAUGUAAAAAGAGAUUUUGAUUAACUAAAUAGGCAUACUGCUGGAGAAUUUAGAAACACAAUUUUGUCAGAUAGUAACUUAAGAUUAGAACAAAAUUAUGGAAAAAAUAAGCUCCAAUAUUAAUAGAUAUGGAGGCUGGAUUUGGGGCAUUGUUUUGGAGGGCAAGUAGAUGACUUUCCUGCCUUUAGUUUGUAACUCAUGGGAUUCUAGGUGGCCAGGGCCAUUGCUCAGUAAGACCUUAAAAAGCAGUCAUUCAAUGGUGAGGCAUCUUGGGACUUCUGGAAGACUUUUCAAGGCUCAGGGAUUAGUAGCUUUAUAAAACUGAUUGUACCUAAUCAUAAAACUAACAAUAAUAGUACUAAACUGCUGCAUCAGUCUUUCUUUUCAUGACUUGAAAUCUGGUGUUCAACUCUUCUUGGCUAAUGAAUUUGGCAUUUUUUCCAGAACAGAAUUUUUUGUGGGUAUUAAGUACUU